This 255-nucleotide long non-coding RNA is filed under the name Nicotiana benthamiana. Its description in RNAcentral is "long non-coding RNA (NBEN_LNC032827)". The record is from RNAcentral. Lineage: Eukaryota; Viridiplantae; Streptophyta; Magnoliopsida; Solanales; Solanaceae.
UGAAAAGAUCAAGUUAUAGAAGGUAUGUGGUUAGUUAUUGAUUUGAAAAAUUACUGUAUUAUUUCUAUGUAGGCAGUUGUAGUUAAUUGUAGUCAAUUGUAGUUAAUUGUAGUUAGUUGUAGUUAAUUGUUGUCAGUUGUAGUUAAUUGUAGUCAGUUAUAGUUAAUUGUAGUCAAUUGUAGUUCAUUGUAGUGACGUGAAAGCCAGUUUGUAGGUAAUUGUAGUCAAUUGUAGUUAAUUGUAGUCAAUUAUAGU